CUAAAAUAUUUACAUAGAUAAUAGAGCUGCAACGACAUCAUUGUGAAGGUGCAUAUCCAGAAAAACCUGCACUUUAGGGAUUUUAUCCUUAUCUGGCAAAAGGAAAUAGAUUGUCAUUUCAAAAAUGAAAAGGGACAAAGGAUUGCAGGAUUCCUGUUUACAGUUUAGUCACCGUUGAGUUCAUCUACCAAUAAACCUGACUAAGUCUAUGGAAACAAAACCUUUGCCAGAUCAAAAAAUUUAAAAACAUAAUAUGAAGGGAUAAAAAAGAAGAUAAACAACUAUAAUAAAGUGUCAUCCAAAAAACAUAUUAUGAAGGGAUAAAAAAAUAAGAUAAACAACUAUAAUAAAGUGUCAUCCACAAGAAUCAGAAUCCGACUGGACUUUAACAAUA
RNAcentral lists this long non-coding RNA (394 nucleotides) under Nicotiana benthamiana. Its description in RNAcentral is "long non-coding RNA (NBEN_LNC019257)". Lineage: Eukaryota; Viridiplantae; Streptophyta; Magnoliopsida; Solanales; Solanaceae. The record is from RNAcentral.